Molecule: ribosomal RNA, 435 nt
Filed under: uncultured Gammaproteobacteria bacterium
Lineage: Bacteria; Pseudomonadati; Pseudomonadota; Gammaproteobacteria
Description: bacterial SSU rRNA
Rfam family: Bacterial small subunit ribosomal RNA
Source: RNAcentral
GCUAAUACCGCAUACGCACUACGGUGGAAAGCGGGGGAUCUUCGGACCUCGCGCUAUUGGAUGAGCCUAAGUCGGAUUAGCUUGUUGGUGGGGUAAAGGCCUACCAAGGCGACGAUCCGUAGCUGGUCUGAGAGGACGAUCAGCCACACUGGGACUGAGACACGGCCCAGACUCCUACGGGAGGCAGCAGUGGGGAAUAUUGGACAAUGGGCGCAAGCCUGAUCCAGCAAUGCCGCGUGUGUGAAGAAGGCCUGCGGGUUGUAAAGCACUUUCAGUAGAGAAGAAAAGCUCACGGUUAAUAACCGUGAGUCUUGACGUAACCUACAGAAGAAGCACCGGCUAACUCCGUGCCAGCAGCCGCGGUAAUACGGAGGGUGCGAGCGUUAAUCGGAAUUACUGGGCGUAAAGCGCGCGCAGCGGCUUGGUCAGUCGGAU